RNAcentral lists this ribosomal RNA (253 nucleotides) under uncultured bacterium. RNAcentral describes it as "partial 16S ribosomal RNA". It matches the Rfam family "Bacterial small subunit ribosomal RNA", at positions 524 to 776 of the family's 1533-position model. The record is from RNAcentral.
UACGUAGGGGGCUAGCGUUGUCCGGAAUCAUUGGGCGUAAAGCGCGCGUAGGCGGCCCGGUAAGUCCGCUGUGAAAGUCAAAGGCUCAACCUUUGAAUGUCAGCGGAUACUGCCGGGCUAGAGUCCGGAAGAGGCGAGUGGAACUCCUGGUGUAGCGGUGGAAUGCGUAGAGAUCGGGAAGAACAUCAGUGGCGAAGGCGGCCUGCUGGGCUGUUGCUGACGCUGAGGCGCGACAGCGUGGGGAGCAAACAGG